Molecule: ribosomal RNA, 330 nt
Filed under: Triticum aestivum (bread wheat)
Lineage: Eukaryota; Viridiplantae; Streptophyta; Magnoliopsida; Poales; Poaceae
Description: partial small subunit ribosomal RNA
Source: RNAcentral
AUUUCUAGACUGAAUUACGCGGUGCUUACUCUCAUCCCUAAGAUCAAAGGAGCUGACUUGAUUUCCCAAUUUAGGCCCAUUGCUCUAAUCAAUAACUUCAUGAAGAUUCCGGCUAAGGGUUUGGCCACUAGGGUUUCUCCAAUCGCUCAUCGUGUCAUUAGACCUUCCCAAUCCGCUUUUAUAAAAGGGAGAUUCAUACUGGACGGGGUUCUUUGCUUGCAUGAGAUUGUUCAUGACUUGCGGGCCAAGGGCACUCGGGCUGUAGUUCUUAAACUUGACUUUGAAAAGGCUUACGAUUCGGUGAGCUGGAAUUUCCUUCAUCAGGUUCUU